Molecule: ribosomal RNA, 1765 nt
Filed under: Escherichia coli
Lineage: Bacteria; Pseudomonadati; Pseudomonadota; Gammaproteobacteria; Enterobacterales; Enterobacteriaceae
Description: partial 23S ribosomal RNA
Rfam family: Bacterial large subunit ribosomal RNA
Source: RNAcentral
UGUAACGGGGCUAAACCAUGCACCGAAGCUGCGGCAGCGACGCUGAUGCGUUGUUGGGUAGGGGAGCGUUCUGUAAGCCUGCGAAGGUGUGCUGUGAGGCAUGCUGGAGGUAUCAGAAGUGCGAAUGCUGACAUAAGUAACGAUAAAGCGGGUGAAAAGCCCGCUCGCCGGAAGACCAAGGGUUCCUGUCCAACGUUAAUCGGGGCAGGGUGAGUCGACCCCUAAGGCGAGGCCGAAAGGCGUAGUCGAUGGGAAACAGGUUAAUAUUCCUGUACUUGGUGUUACUGCGAAGGGGGGACGGAGAAGGCUAUGUUGGCCGGGCGACGGUUGUCCCGGUUUAAGCGUGUAGGCUGGUUUUCCAGGCAAAUCCGGAAAAUCAAGGCUGAGGCGUGAUGACGAGGCACUACGGUGCUGAAGCAACAAAUGCCCUGCUUCCAGGAAAAGCCUCUAAGCAUCAGGUAACAUCAAAUCGUACCCCAAACCGACACAGGUGGUCAGGUAGAGAAUACCAAGGCGCUUGAGAGAACUCGGGUGAAGGAACUAGGCAAAAUGGUGCCGUAACUUCGGGAGAAGGCACGCUGAUAUGUAGGUGAAGUCCCUCGCGGAUGGAGCUGAAAUCAGUCGAAGAUACCAGCUGGCUGCAACUGUUUAUUAAAAACACAGCACUGUGCAAACACGAAAGUGGACGUAUACGGUGUGACGCCUGCCCGGUGCCGGAAGGUUAAUUGAUGGGGUUAGCGCAAGCGAAGCUCUUGAUCGAAGCCCCGGUAAACGGCGGCCGUAACUAUAACGGUCCUAAGGUAGCGAAAUUCCUUGUCGGGUAAGUUCCGACCUGCACGAAUGGCGUAAUGAUGGCCAGGCUGUCUCCACCCGAGACUCAGUGAAAUUGAACUCGCUGUGAAGAUGCAGUGUACCCGCGGCAAGACGGAAAGACCCCGUGAACCUUUACUAUAGCUUGACACUGAACAUUGAGCCUUGAUGUGUAGGAUAGGUGGGAGGCUUUGAAGUGUGGACGCCAGUCUGCAUGGAGCCGACCUUGAAAUACCACCCUUUAAUGUUUGAUGUUCUAACGUGGACCCGUAAUCCGGGUUGCGGACAGUGUCUGGUGGGUAGUUUGACUGGGGCGGUCUCCUCCUAAAGAGUAACGGAGGAGCACGAAGGUUGGCUAAUCCUGGUCGGACAUCAGGAGGUUAGUGCAAUGGCAUAAGCCAGCUUGACUGCGAGCGUGACGGCGCGAGCAGGUGCGAAAGCAGGUCAUAGUGAUCCGGUGGUUCUGAAUGGAAGGGCCAUCGCUCAACGGAUAAAAGGUACUCCGGGGAUAACAGGCUGAUACCGCCCAAGAGUUCAUAUCGACGGCGGUGUUUGGCACCUCGAUGUCGGCUCAUCACAUCCUGGGGCUGAAGUAGGUCCCAAGGGUAUGGCUGUUCGCCAUUUAAAGUGGUACGCGAGCUGGGUUUAGAACGUCGUGAGACAGUUCGGUCCCUAUCUGCCGUGGGCGCUGGAGAAUUGAGGGGGGCUGCUCCUAGUACGAGAGGACCGGAGUGGACGCAUCACUGGUGUUCGGGUUGUCAUGCCAAUGGCACUGCCCGGUAGCUAAAUGCGGAAGAGAUAAGUGCUGAAAGCAUCUAAGCACGAAACUUGCCCCGAGAUGAGUUCUCCCUGACUCCUUGAGAGUCCUGAAGGAACGUUGAAGACGACGACGUUGAUAGGCCGGGUGUGUAAGCGCAGCGAUGCGUUGAGCUAACCGGUACUAAUGAACCGUGAG